UCUUACUCUGCUGGCUUUUGGUAUUUUAGUUUUGGGGUUGGUAGUCUUAGUUUGUGGGCUUUGUUUAUUUGUUUUCUUUAGGUAGUUUUGGUUAUGCAGCCAUUUGCAGGGAGCUGCUGACUCUGAUGCCGACGCCCGAGAUGGCUGGGUCAACAGUCUCCGUGACUCAUUUCAUGUUUGUCCAAGGAGCCACCAUGGAGAGAUAAAAGAGACACAUGAGGAUCUGGACAUUGGAGACUCCUGGUCUAGAAGAAAUGACAGCAAAACACACAAACUCCACUGAAACACUGAGUUGUGAACCACAGAAAUCUGUAUUAAUCUGCUGUAAAACCACCAGCUGAUGCUUUAUCAUGAUUUACAAACAUUUACAGUAAAUCUGAGGCCUAAACUUCACGUUGAGAAGUUGCAUUUUAUUUUUAAUCAUGUUUCCAGACCCCGCUUGAUGAAAGAAUGACCACAUUUUUAAAUGAUUACAUUUCUAGUUUAUAUUAUCACUUGUAUUAAAAGGUUUGUUUAGUUAACUGGAGUUUCACACUUGAAGCAGUAUUAAAACCAGUAAAUUCACUUUGCUAGAACUUGAAAUGUUCUCCAGGUGCAUCAUGGGUAGGGAAGAUCCCAGCCAAAGUUCAACUGUAGGUCAUUUGUUAGCAUUAGAAUACACUGUUGAUAGUUAGCUUUAUGUACUGAAAUAAUUUGAUAAAUAAAAGUUUAGCUGCUUUGUUUAUAGCUUUUUAGCUAGUCCUUUAUUAAUAAACGUUAUUUAAUUUAAAUCACUGUAAUAACUCUGAGUUGUAGCUGCAUAGACGUGGCAGCACUUUGUUGAUGCUAAUAGAACUGCUAGCUUAGAGCUUCUGCAAACAAAGCUGCGACUUUUACAUCAAGAACAAAACAAGAGAACAAGCCCUGAUUCGUCAAGCUGAAGCAAAUGGUUAGGUGUGGCUGAAAGCAGCACUCAGACAAACCUCACACACCUGAAAGAUAAACAGCAUUUAACUUUAGGAAAUACAGGGAUGCAAUUUUCCAAGAGCAGCUCCCAUGCAGGAGAGCACGACCAGAUCCUUCCCAGAGUUAGCAAAAGGGGAUUCUGUGUCACUGGGAGUCAUUUAGGAAUGAAUCUCAGUCAAUGUACUAAAAAGUUGCUUGUGACAAAAGACUCAGUGGUUCAUUUGUUUCCUCUUUUUAUGUGUCCAAACCGGUUCCAGCCAGCGCUUUGCUGAGAUAAACAUUACUGCGGUCACACGUCUCCUCCCUGCUGCUCCUUCACAGACGGAGCAGAAUCAUGUGAGGGCGGCGGAGAAACGCUGAGUCAUGCUGUGACCCAAGAAAACCAUUUGCCGCUUAAAGAUGUCUGCAGUGAACCUUGUUAGACGGAGGAGCAUCACUUCAUGGAAAUGGACCCGCAGAAUCGAGUGGAAACAUAAAUGAUUCAGUCAUCGGCUGUGUGUCUCCUCAGAUCAGUUCCUCAAACAGACACCCUGUUCUCGUCUGACACAGCAGAAGAAGCUGCUUUUUCCACUCGACUCUUUCAUCAGGAAGGCGUGUGAGGAUGUUGCUGAAUCAAGAUCACAUAAAUGGCUAUAAAGAA
Long non-coding RNA from Oryzias melastigma (Indian medaka), 1585 nucleotides. RefSeq lists it as uncharacterized. The record is from RefSeq and is a predicted model, not a curated record. NCBI's taxonomy places the organism in Eukaryota, Metazoa, Chordata, Actinopteri, Beloniformes, Adrianichthyidae. The transcript is spliced from 2 exons.